AAGGAUUUAAGUUAUUUAAACUUUUAACCUUCAAAGUUAAAAAAAGAGAUUUUUCUAAGCCUUA
Molecule: transfer RNA, 64 nt
Filed under: Gloeosoma sp. GLO01
Lineage: Eukaryota; Metazoa; Arthropoda; Insecta; Coleoptera; Corylophidae
Description: tRNA-Trp
Source: RNAcentral